Bison bison bison is the source of this 106-nucleotide ribosomal RNA. The record is from Ensembl. NCBI's taxonomy places the organism in Eukaryota, Metazoa, Chordata, Mammalia, Artiodactyla, Bovidae.
GAAGGGAAGGAUUGCGCCCUAUCGCGUCUGAUCUCGGAAGCUAAGCAGGGUUGGGCCUGGUUAGUACUUGGAUGGGAGACUAAAAUUACCUUGUUGCUUCUCUAUU